RNAcentral lists this ribosomal RNA (589 nucleotides) under uncultured fungus. Its description in RNAcentral is "eukaryotic LSU rRNA". The stretch from base 225 to 378 matches the Rfam family "5.8S ribosomal RNA". Lineage: Eukaryota; Fungi. The record is from RNAcentral.
CUUGGUCAUUUAGAGGAAGUAAAAGUCGUAACAAGGCCUCCGUAGGUGAACCUGCGGAGGGAUCAUUACAAGUGACCCCGGUCUUACCACCGGGAUGUUCAUAACCCUUUGUUGUCCGACUCUGUUGCCUCCGGGGCGACCCUGCCUUCGGGCGGGGGCUCCGGGUGGACACUUCAAACUCUUGCGUAACUUUGCAGUCUGAGUAAACUUAAUUAAUAAAUUAAAACUUUUAACAACGGAUCUCUUGGUUCUGGCAUCGAUGAAGAACGCAGCGAAAUGCGAUAAGUAAUGUGAAUUGCAGAAUUCAGUGAAUCAUCGAAUCUUUGAACGCACAUUGCGCCCCCUGGUAUUCCGGGGGGCAUGCCUGUUCGAGCGUCAUUUCACCACUCAAGCCUCGCUUGGUAUUGGGCAACGCGGUCCGCCGCGUGCCUCAAAUCGACCGGCUGGGUCUUCUGUCCCCUAAGCGUUGUGGAAACUAUUCGCUAAAGGGUGUUCGGGAGGCUACGCCGUAAAACAACCCCAUUUCUAAGGUUGACCUCGGAUCAGGUAGGGAUACCCGCUGAACUUAAGCAUAUCAAUAAGCGGAGGA